UUCGUAUGUGAGCUGCGGCAGGAUCAUUA
This 29-nucleotide ribosomal RNA is filed under the name Chaenothecopsis nana. RNAcentral describes it as "partial 18S ribosomal RNA". Lineage: Eukaryota; Fungi; Ascomycota; Eurotiomycetes; Mycocaliciales; Mycocaliciaceae. The record is from RNAcentral.